GACGGCACUCAAAAUAUCCAUUCUCUAAACGGACUUGCAGAUGUUUUUGCCCAGUUGUAGGCUAUAUGACCACGGCAACACCAAGAGCUGAAAGGAUUAGAUAUAUUGUGUUGCGCCCUUGUGCUGGGACCUCCCCAAAAUGGACUUCUGCUAAGUGGUAACCUGGUUAUUUUGAGCGCGUCACUUCGUCUUGUCUCCAAGUUAUAGGUUCCCAUUGCCAAGGUUGGGCGCAGCACUUAACUGAUAUUGUUAUAGGCUACUUAUUGAUGGAGUAGACAUCGAUAGAAAUUGGCACACUAUUGACAACACAACGAAAGAAGGUUGGACACAUUCCUGUGGUUUCUUUCUUAUCCGAAUGAUACAUUUAUUUGGCCUACCUAAUAAUGUCAUAAAAUUCGCAUAUUAUGGCCUAGUAGGCAUAGUGGCCGUUAUUAAGAAACAGCUUAGAAUUGAUGUAAGCUUGGCACUAGGCAAUAUUAAGAUUUUAGAUGAUUAUUAUAUUGGCCCGUCAUUUCUCCUGCGCUCCUACUUCUUUUGGUGGUGUGGUGCGACUCCACGUGGCAACAAAUUGAGGAUUAUUGUAGUAACAAGAACGAAUAAACCCAAAGAGCACGCCCUACUCUCUGUGCGUAAUGACGCACUUGCGCAGGAGCAAUGUCACAGUCGCAACACCGAGACAGCGCCACCGAUUUAUUCUAAACUGAAUAAUAAUUGUUAUAAACCACAGAUACGGAUGUUCAUCCUUAUUCCAACAACGAUUUGCAUAGCAUUUCCAAUCCCUUGUGAGGGUCGUGUAGUGGGGCCCGUGAGCGGCGGAUGAGGCUGGGGUCCAGCUUCAGCGGCGCCCUGCAGCCUCCCAAUGGUCUCCCCCACUAUGAAGGCACUGGUGGACGCUGUGUGGGCGGUGUGGAGCAUCGGUGCCUCCGUCUAUGACUACAUCCACACCAGCGCCAUGGAGGAGCGCAUCCACACGCUGGAGACCGUCAUCACCAUUCACCAGUGUGUCAUCGCAGCGCUGACCGCUGGAGUGGUGGUGCUCUUCACCUACAUACUGUUGAGGAAGCACUGAGGGGGAGUGAGGAAGGAGAAGCCACGCAGGGCCCAGGAGGCUAGUUUUGAGGACAACACAGGAUUACCAGAGUGAUCAGAAGCAUUGAGAGUGUGGGUCUGGAAAGUCAUCCAGAGCCCUGGAGAGGCCUACCGGCCUACAUGGAUUAGAUUGAGGAGGACUUGAUUAAUAAGGGAUUUUGGCUACUAGAAAAGUUUUUGCUAUUUGGCCUUUAUUUCGGCUGCCAAUUGUACCAUUCUACUGCGGGGGUGUUGCUGGACACUGUGUCUCAGGGAGUCAAUGGUUUCACUCACUUUGCACCCAUGGAAGAUGAAGACAUGGGCAGAGAUGGGCAAAAGAUGCAUGAAAAUGUAUCUUUUUACAAAUACAAGUUACUUUAAAGACCAAUGUAUCAAACUAAAAUACAAAAUACUUUUGUGAAGAAUUGUAUUUAGAAUGAUUAAUUCUUUAAUACAAAAUACAUUUGCAAGUACAUGCCUUCACUACAACAAUAUUCUUAGUAACAGAAACAAAAAAACAUUUAACUUGCUAUGACUGUAAUAUGUGGUUGUUUAUCUACCUUGGUUGAAUGCACUGACUAAGUCACUGUGGAUAAAUGUCUGCUAAAUGACCUAAAUGUAAAAAUGUAAUAAUUGCAAAGCACACUUGGUAUUAUUAUUGGCCUUAUUUUGUGGGCGGAGCUCAUCAAUAAUACCCAGCAUGCUUUGCAGGUGUACAUUUGUACAUUUACAUGUUGUUCAUUCAGCAGACACUCAUAUCACACCAUAGUGCCGUGACUUCUGAUACCAAUGCAGGGUGAAAGGGGGCCUCCAAAUGUUGAACCGCUAUAAAAUAAAAAGGAUAUAGAAAAUGUAUUUUGAAAAUAUAAAUGACAGGUCUCAAGUAUGUUACAAACUACAUUGGAUUGUAGUUCAGGCCAGUGAAAUACAAAUGACAAAAUACUCAAAAGCAAAUGAAAUAUGAAUUUCAAUGACAUGUAACAGGAAUACUGCCCAUCUCUGGAUGUGGGGAUGCUAAAACCACAGCGACGACUCAACCUGCAGACUGUAAUCUAAUAACACACUAAAGGGAUGAUAAUUAUCAUUAGGUUUGACUGCCUUAAUAUGCCUCAAGUGGUUUCACUCCCCAGAUGGAAUAACAUUAUUAGUUAGUUAGGUUUUCAUGUUGGCUCUAAUUGCUUAUCCCGCCUGUAUGAUGCAUUGGAAAACUGGAAACUCCCUCUUCAAAACCAUGAUUGUACUAGGUGCCAGCCCAACAGUCUAUACAGGUCUAUAAUUGGAAGUCUUGGUCAUGAAGAUGAAAGUGUUCACUUAGAGGUUAACUAUUAUAUCACCCAGUAAGGGAGAGUGGAAUAUCAUGGGACGGGCUGAAUGUAUUCUCAAAAGGCCUUAUUUGUUGUAGAAAACUGGCCUCAAGGUUCUCCUGUGAAUUCCUCUGUAGGAGAAGGCGUUUCUGUGAAGCACUCAAAGGUCAAUACACUGGUCGCCAUGAAUGCCAUUUAGUACAGUACAUGUUCUUUGAUACAACUCCUUUAAAGCGUGUUUAUUUGAUUGCUAAAAUAAGUCAUUGUAGAUAGUCUUAUAAUGCAAGACUUUGUAGUGGCAUUUCAUGGUGUUAGUUGAACAUGGCUAUAGCUGUGAAGGUUACGUCACUGGAAAGAGUAUUUAGAAGCAUCCUUACCUGUAAAAUAUGAAUCAAUCUGAAUGUUUUGGUACAUUGUUUAUAAAUGUUUCAGUAAUGACCACUCUUAACAUUUAAAAGGGUAUAAAACACAUUGUAGGACUUAAAAUAUUUAUGGCAGUUUAAGUGCAAUGUUAUGUUGUGUAAUUCAUUUAAAUUGUUCACUUGCUACAAUAUGACGAAUACACAAUGUUUGCCCUAUCAUCUUGUUCAGAUUGCCAAAAUGGGCCUCAAUGGAAUGUUUCAGGUAAAUCAAAUGUGACUUACAGGUGACAGACGGCCUCCAUGGCAACAAAACAUUUAAUCACCUCCUGGAUCAUUGUGUGAAUGUACAGUGCCUUCAGAAAGUAUUCAGACCCCUUGACUUUUUCCACAUUUUGUUAAGUUACAGCCUUAUUUUAAAAUGGAUUAAAUAAAAACAUUUCCUCAGCAAUCUACUCACAAUACCCAAUAAUGACAAAGCAAAAACAAGUUCAUAGAUUUUUUUGCUACUAAUAAAAAAAAAAGAUAUGUAAAUAUGGUUUCUGUUUUUCAUGACUAUUUGCUAUGAGACUCGAAAUUGAGCUCAGGGGCCUCCCGGGUGGCGCAGUGUUCUAAGGCACUGCAUCGCAGUGCUAGCUGUGCCACCAGAGACUCCGGGUUCGAGCCCAGGCUCUGUCGCAUCCGGCUGCGACCGGGAGGUCCAUGAGGCGACGCACAAUUGGCCUAGCGUCGUCCGGGUUAGGGAGGCUUUGGCCGGUAGGGAUAUCCUUCUCUCAUCGCGCACUAGUGACUCCUGUGGCGGGCUGGGCGCAGUGCACGCUGACCAGGUCGCUAGGUGUACGGUGUUUCCUCCGACACAGUGGUGCGGCUGGGUUGGUUAAGAAGCAGUGCGGCUUCUCGACCUUCGUCUCUCCCAAGCCUGUACGGGAGUUGUAGCGAUGAGACAAGACAGUAACUACUAACAAUUGGAUAUCACGAAAUUGGGGAGAAAAAGGGGUUACAAAUAAUAAAGAAAACAAAUUGAGUUCAGGUGCAUCCUGUUUCCAUUGAUAAUCCUUGAUGUUUCUACAACUUGAUUGGAGUCCACCUGUGGGGCCUCCCGGGUGGACAUGAUUUGGAAAGGCACACACCUGUCUAAAUGAGAUCCCACAGUUGACAGUGGACAUGAUUUAGAAAGGCACACACCUGUCUAAAUGAGAUCCCACAGUUGACAGUGCAUGUCAGACCUAGCCAUGAGCUCAAAAGAAUUGUUCGUAGAGCUCCGAGACAGGAUUGUAUCGAGGCACAGAUCUGGGGAAGGGUACCAAAACAUUUCUGCAGCAUAGAAGUUCAAGGUAACACAGUCGCCUCAAUCAUUCUUAAAUGGAUGAAGUUUGGAACCACCAUGACUCUUCCUAGAGCUGACCGUCCGGCAAAACUGAGCAAUCAGGGGAGAAGGGUCUUGGUCAGGGGGGUGACCAAGUACCCGAUGGUCACUCUGACAGAGCUUCAGAGUUCCCCUGUGGAGGAACAGCACCACCAUCAGGCCUUUAUGGUAGAGUGGCCAGACGGAAGCCGCCACUCAGUAAAAAAACUCGCUUGGAGUUUUCCAAAUGGCACCCAAAAACUCUCAGACCAUGAGAAACAAAAUUUUCCGGUCUGAAUGCCAAGCGUCACGUCUGGAGGAAACCUGGCAUCUAAACGAGGAUCCUACGGUGAAGCAUGUUGGUGGCAGCAUCAUGCUGUGGGGAUGUUUUUCAGUGGCAGGGACUGGGAGACUAGUCAGGAUCAAGGCAAAGAUUAACAGAGCAAAGUACAGAGAGAUACUUGAUGAAAACCUGCUCCAGAGUGCUCAGGACCUCAGACUGGGGUGAUGGUUCACCUUCCAACAGGACGAAGACUCUAAGCACACAGCCAAGACAACGCAGGAGUGGCUUCGGGACAAGUCUCUGAAUGUCAUUGAGUAGCCAGAACCCGAUCGAACAUCUCUGGAGAUACCUGAAAAUAGCUGUGCAGCAAUGCUCCCAAUCCAACCUGACAGAGCUUGAGAGGAUCCUCAGAGAAGAAUGGGAGAAACUCCCCAAAUACAGGUGUGCCAAGCUUGUAGCGUCAUAUCAAAGAAGACGAGGCAGUAAUCGCUGCCAAUCGUUCAACAAUGUACUGAGUAAAGGGUCUGAAUAUUUAUGUAAAUGACAUUUCACUUUUAUUUUGAAUAAAAUAGCAACAAUUUCUAAAAACCUGUUUUUGAUUUGUCAUUAUGGGGUAGGGUGUAGAUUGAGGGGGUAAAACUAUUUACAUUUUAGAAUAAGGCUGUAACCUAACAAAAUGUGGAAAAAAUCAAGGGGCCUGAAUAGUUUCCAAAGGCACUUUAAUGGUACGAAGGAUCAGGAGAGUGCAAUGUUCUGACUGCAGAUAAGUCUUGUGUAGAGCAAAAUCUGUUUACUCUGUAAUCAAGAAAAGGUUUCACAAAGCACUGGUUGGUGAUUGGACAUACUGCCAUCCCUACGCUCCAAUCUGAGUAAGCAAGUCAGGGGUCGUUCAGGGACAGGGUCAUAAUACUCACAUGUAUGUAAGUAGUCAUGUGACGCACUGGUUAUUAAAACAGAAUAAUGAUAAUCCCAUGUGCUACAAUGUGAUAUUGACCUACAGACAGAACACUGUAGAAACACCCUGACCAAGGAGACUAUUCAUGGUUUUAUUUCAAGUUAACAGUGACAAAGUUAAUGUUUUGUAAAUACAUAAUGUCAUUCUUACUGAUGUGUACAUUAACAUAACUAUCUUCAUAAUGAAAUUAUUCAAGUUGUAAACUUGCAUGAAACACCACGUUGUAUACAAAAUGCAAGGAAAUGUAAAGUACAAAUUUAACUUGUCAUAUAAAAACAGAACAGCUUGUUAACCCUGUCUCUAUGUAGUUGCCCUUAACCACAGAUCUACCCUAACCUUAACCAUUAGGUUGAUCAAAUAUAUCUGACUCUGUAUCAGUGGUUAGAUCAACUUCUACCUACUCAUCCAAACUGCAGUAAGCAGUUUCCGGGUCAGGUGUGUUCUAGAUGUGUCCAGUCUGCAGCAGGGUGUACUGGGCAGUGAAUCUCUCCACACUCUCCCCCUCCAGCAUCUUCAUGGCUCUCCAGUGGAUCAUCCCACAGUUUUCUGGCUGGCCGCUGGGCCCAAGCUCCUCUCGGAUGUACUCCAGCCACAGAUCUGGAGGGGAAAAGCCAUAUACAGUCCUGAGUGACCAUCUCAACUUACUUUAUCCCAGAAAACUACAUGGAAGUAAAGGUUUAUAUGCAUGCCAUACUAAAACACCUCAAUCAGCUAAUCAAAGUUGCUGUUGAAUCAGGUGUGUUAAUGUUGGGCUGGAAUAAAAGCCUGCAAACCCUGUAGUUCCAA
Molecule: long non-coding RNA, 6100 nt
Organism: Oncorhynchus kisutch (coho salmon)
Lineage: Eukaryota; Metazoa; Chordata; Actinopteri; Salmoniformes; Salmonidae
Exons: 2
Source: RefSeq, a predicted model, not a curated record